RNAcentral lists this ribosomal RNA (433 nucleotides) under uncultured bacterium. Its description in RNAcentral is "partial 16S ribosomal RNA". It matches the Rfam family "Bacterial small subunit ribosomal RNA", at positions 29 to 507 of the family's 1533-position model. The record is from RNAcentral.
AGCGAACGCUGGCGGCAGGCUUAACACAUGCAAGUCGAGCGGACACUUCGGUGUCAGCGGCAGACGGUUGUGUAACCCGUGGGAACGUACCCUUCGGUUCGGCCUAACGCUGGGAAACUAGCGCUAAUACCGGAUACGCCCUUUUGGGGAAAGGUUUACUGCAGCAGGAUCGGCCCGCGUCUGAUUAGCUAGUUGGUGGGGUAAUGGCCUACCAAGGCGACGAUCAGUAGCUGGUCUGAGAGGAUGAUCAGCCACACUGGGACUGAGACACGGCCCAGACUCCUACGGGAUGCAGCAGUGGGGAAUAUUGGACAAUCGGCGCAAGCCUGAUCCAGCCAUGCCGCGUGAGUGAUGAAGGCCUGAGGGUUGUAAAGCUCUUGUGUCCGGGACGAUAAUGACGGUACCGGAAGAAUAAGCCCCGGCUAACUUCGUG